Molecule: ribosomal RNA, 375 nt
Filed under: Bolbe pygmea
Lineage: Eukaryota; Metazoa; Arthropoda; Insecta; Mantodea; Nanomantidae
Description: partial 12S ribosomal RNA
Source: RNAcentral
AUACCCUAUUAUUUUUAAUGUAAAAAGUGAAGCUGGAGUAUUAAUAGUUAAGAUCUUUAAACUUAAAGAAUUUGGCGGUAUUAUAAUCUGUUUAGAGGAAUCUGUCAGGUGAUCGAUAGUCCGCGUUGAACCUAACUUAUAUUAAAUUCUUGUAUACCGCUGUUUGUGAAGAUAUUUUGAGGUAAUUUUCUUAAUAAAUUAAUAUUUAGAAUUUCAAGUCAAGGUGCAGUUAUUAUGUAAGGUUAAAGAUGGAUUACAAUAGAUUUUAUUUAUACGGAGAUUAGUUUGUAAAAGGGAUUUGAAGGUGGAUUUAAUAGUAAUUUUUAGUAGAUAUAUUAAAGUGAUUAAAAGCUCUAUAAUAUGUACACAUCGCCC